This 244-nucleotide unclassified non-coding RNA is filed under the name Moritella viscosa. Its description in RNAcentral is "putative sRNA". Lineage: Bacteria; Pseudomonadati; Pseudomonadota; Gammaproteobacteria; Alteromonadales; Moritellaceae. The record is from RNAcentral.
CUCCUUUGUUGCGUUAACUAUAGCUUGCCAAAAACAAUAGUCAUAACAAUUACCGGAUCGGCUGUUUAGAUUUGAAUAGCCACUCACAAUGGUACAAAACGGUACAAUUGAGCGUACUUUUUAAUGACUGCGUCAGUACAUAAGCAACCAAGAUGAUUACAUAGACGAUUUUUGCUUUAGGAAAUGCGUUACAAAGCUGAUAUUUAGCCUAUAACGCAGGAAAAGUAUGGGUAUUGGCAUAUUA